AGAGUUUGAUCAUGGCUCAGAUUGAACGCUGGCGGCAUGCCUUACACAUGCAAGUCGAACGGCAGCACGGGUGCUUGCACCUGGUGGCGAGUGGCGAACGGGUGAGUAAUACAUCGGAACAUGCCCAGUCGUGGGGGAUAGCUCGGCGAAAGCCGGAUUAAUACCGCAUACGUCCUGAGGGAGAAAGCGGGGGAUCUUCGGACCUCGCGCGAUUGGAGUGGCCGAUGUCGGAUUAGCUAGUUGGUGAGGUAAAGGCUUACCAAGGCGACGAUCCGUAGCUGGUCUGAGAGGAUGAUCAGCCACACUGGAACUGAGACACGGUCCAGACUCCUACGGGAGGCAGCAGUGGGGAAUUUUGGACAAUGGGGGCAACCCUGAUCCAGCCAUGCCGCGUGAGUGAAGAAGGCCUUCGGGUUGUAAAGCUCUUUCGGCCGGGAAGAAAUCGCACGCUAUAACAUAGCGUGUGGAUGACGGUACCGGACUAAGAAGCACCGGCUAACUACGUGCCAGCAGCCGCGGUAAUACGUAGGGUGCGAGCGUUAAUCGGAAUUACUGGGCGUAAAGCGUGCGCAGGCGGUUUUGUAAGACAGGUGUGAAAUCCCCGGGCUUAACCUGGGAACUGCGCU
Molecule: ribosomal RNA, 626 nt
Filed under: uncultured bacterium
Lineage: Bacteria
Description: bacterial SSU rRNA
Rfam family: Bacterial small subunit ribosomal RNA
Source: RNAcentral